CGGGCGGUAGCUCAGCUUGGUAGAGCUUCCGGCUGUAGACCGGAGUGUCGCAGGUUCAAAUCCCGCCCGCCCGACCA
This 77-nucleotide transfer RNA is filed under the name Candidatus Bathyarchaeota archaeon. Its description in RNAcentral is "tRNA-Tyr". It matches the Rfam family "tRNA". From Rfam's summary of the family: Transfer RNA (tRNA) molecules are approximately 80 nucleotides in length. The record is from RNAcentral. Lineage: Archaea; Thermoproteati; Candidatus Bathyarchaeota. RNAcentral also lists the same sequence under 4 other names.